AUUUUAAACAUGCAUAAGAAAAACAAUGGGUCUUAGGCUAUAUUUACAUGGAGUGGAAAACACAGUAGCCCAGAAAUUAGACUCCAGAGAAAUGAUGUUAGGAAAUCGAAACUGAAAUGGACCCCAGAGCAAUUGAAGAAAGAAAGAGUCAAG
Cebus imitator (Panamanian white-faced capuchin) is the source of this 153-nucleotide long non-coding RNA. RefSeq lists it as uncharacterized. The record is from RefSeq and is a predicted model, not a curated record. Lineage: Eukaryota; Metazoa; Chordata; Mammalia; Primates; Cebidae. The transcript is spliced from 2 exons.